Molecule: ribosomal RNA, 325 nt
Filed under: Parathermosynechococcus lividus C1
Lineage: Bacteria; Bacillati; Cyanobacteriota; Cyanophyceae; Acaryochloridales; Thermosynechococcaceae
Description: bacterial SSU rRNA
Rfam family: Bacterial small subunit ribosomal RNA
Source: RNAcentral
AUUCAGUUGGGCACUCUAGAGAGACUGCCGGUGACAAACCGGAGGAAGGUGGGGAUGACGUCAAGUCAUCAUGCCCCUUACGCCCUGGGCUACACACGUACUACAAUGCUGUGGACAGAGAGUUGCCAACCCGCGAGGGCGAGCUAAUCUCUUAAACCACGGCUCAGUUCAGAUUGCAGGCUGCAACUCGCCUGCAUGAAGGCGGAAUCGCUAGUAAUCGCAGGUCAGCAUACUGCGGUGAAUACGUUCCCGGGCCUUGUACACACCGCCCGUCACACCAUGGGAGUUGGCCACGCCCGAAGUCGUUACUCUAACCCGUAGGGGA